UUUUAGCUCCUUUGUGUUUUUAGGUUUAUGUCUGUCCUCCGAAGAGGGGGCUUCUGGGUUUCUCUGUACUUCUGAGUAUGGGUCCUAUGUGCCUGUCUGUCUGUGAGCCCAGGUGUCUCUCCCAGAGAAGUAUGGGGAGGAAUCUGUACAUCUGUCCUCCCAGCAGGUGGUCACCCCCUUCCCUGGGUCAGGGCUGUGUGUCACCUGUCCCUCUCCCCAAGGGGAUCUGGGUGUCAUUUGUUGGUCCUUCCAGUUCAUUUUCAUCCAGUCCCCACAUCACACCCUGCAGUAUCUUCCAGAGAACCCAGCCCAGCCAUCAGGUGCAUGCUGUGUCUCAACCUGCCUUCCUGACUCACUUUGCUAACAGGAUUGGGAAGACAGGUGCAGAGACUUCCUCCAUUUCCUCUGGCCCGUCGGGAGCUGGGAAAGCAGGAGGGUCCAGGUACAGAGAAAGUUAAGAACAGAAAACAGAACGGUAGGAUGCACAGGGACGGACAGAAGCUAGAGACCUGCUGAAGACUUUUUUUUUUCUUUUUGAAGCAUGGAAAACACAUGUUAUAUGCCA
Molecule: non-coding RNA, 565 nt
Organism: Callithrix jacchus (white-tufted-ear marmoset)
Lineage: Eukaryota; Metazoa; Chordata; Mammalia; Primates; Cebidae
Source: RefSeq, a predicted model, not a curated record